GUUCUCCCUCGCCGGCGUUCGGAUCCCAGCCGUCCGCCCCGCCGGAGUCCCCUCCCGGUUCGGAUCGGAGCAGCGGAGUGUCGUUAAUCUCUCGGUUCUGUUGAAGAAGGAUCACAUCCGAAGGAAGAUUCUUGCUGGAAAUUCUUCUUACGAUACCGAUUCACCAUCUACAACUGUUGCUACCUCUGGAAAAAUGCUGAUUCCAGAUGUCGACCUUGACGUCUCUUCAUCAUCCACAACUUCAGCUGAGAAGUCUCCAGUGGCUGCUGAAGACUCUCAGGCAUUUGAAAAAG
This 293-nucleotide unclassified non-coding RNA is filed under the name Hevea brasiliensis (rubber tree). Lineage: Eukaryota; Viridiplantae; Streptophyta; Magnoliopsida; Malpighiales; Euphorbiaceae. The record is from RNAcentral.